RNAcentral lists this ribosomal RNA (529 nucleotides) under uncultured bacterium. RNAcentral's name for it is "bacterial SSU rRNA". It matches the Rfam family "Bacterial small subunit ribosomal RNA", at positions 777 to 1304 of the family's 1533-position model. The record is from RNAcentral.
AAUAGAUACCCGGGUAGUCCACGCCGUAAACGAUGAGUGCUAAGUGUUAGAGGGUUUCCGCCCUUUAGUGCUGCAGCUAACGCAUUAAGCACUCCGCCUGGGGAGUAUGGUCGCAAGACUGAAACUCAAAGGAAUUGACGGGGGCCCGCACAAGCGGUGGAGCAUGUGGUUUAAUUCGAAGCAACGCGAAGAACCUUACCAGGUCUUGACAUCCCACUGACCGGUAUAGAGAUAUACCUUUCCCUUCGGGGACAGUGGUGACAGGUGGUGCAUGGUUGUCGUCAGCUCGUGUCGUGAGAUGUUGGGUUAAGUCCCGCAACGAGCGCAACCCUUGAUCUUAGUUGCCAGCAUUUAGUUGGGCACUCUAAGGUGACUGCCGGUGACAAACCGGAGGAAGGUGGGGAUGACGUCAAAUCAUCAUGCCCCUUAUGACCUGGGCUACACACGUGCUACAAUGGAUGGUACAAAGGGCUGCAAGACUGCGAAGUCAAGCCAAUCCCAUAAAACCAUUCUCAGUUCGGAUUGCAGG